This 205-nucleotide long non-coding RNA is filed under the name Nicotiana benthamiana. RNAcentral describes it as "long non-coding RNA (NBEN_LNC000189)". The record is from RNAcentral. Lineage: Eukaryota; Viridiplantae; Streptophyta; Magnoliopsida; Solanales; Solanaceae.
UCUUAGUUUUAUCGAUUCUUAUUCUCAUUGACUUGCAAACCAACCAAAGAAUUCGUUUAUUUUCCACAAGCAUCUCUUAAGCAUUUAAUAUAUUCAUGGAGAUAAUUUUCACACCCUAAAAUUAGUGAGAGGUGGUUUGAAUAUUAAAAUAGAGCUACGGAAAACAUUACUAAUUGUUGUGUUAAAACAGGUAAUCUUUACUCUU